Molecule: long non-coding RNA, 430 nt
Filed under: Coffea arabica (coffee)
Lineage: Eukaryota; Viridiplantae; Streptophyta; Magnoliopsida; Gentianales; Rubiaceae
Description: long non-coding RNA (CARA_LNC001734)
Source: RNAcentral
UUAUGAGGGUGGACAAGCAGGUAAGAAGGCAUCCUUUUAUCAACGAAAAAUAUAACUUCCUAAGCUCACUGACCAUUUAUGCUGUAAAAACCAACAUAUUGCAAUGCUUAACUUCUGUUCAGGUGUCCAAAAUAAAACAGCUUCUCACAGGUAUCUUAACUAUGAGAUGCAAGUCUCACAUAAUUACGAAUUGUCCUGCCCUGAACCUGAUAGCUAUAUCCACCUCAAAGUUGUACGCCUGAAAAUGAAGGGGUGACAAAUUAACCAAUCAAGAAAAUGCAGGCACCAUAAAACAAUCUACUUCAUAUAAACGCCGAGAUAUGCUGAAUACAAGAUGCAUUUGGAAUUUCAAUCCUCAAACCAACCAUAGAGAAAGCAAUUUGUCUUCAAUUUAACCCAGAAACAAGAGAAAACAUAAAUUGCGAAAACU